CGCCAGACUCCUACGGGAGGCAGCAGUGGGGAAUAUUGCACAAUGGGGGAAACCCUGAUGUAGCGACGCCGCGUGGGUGAAGAAGCGCCUCGGCGCGUAAAGCCCUGUCAGCAGGGAAGAAAAUGACGGUACCUGAAGAAGAAGCCCCGGCUAACUACGUGCCAGCAGCCGCGGUAAUACGUAGGGGGCAAGCGUUAUCCGGAUUUACUGGGUGUAAAGGGGGCGCAGACGGCGAUGCAAGCCAGGAGUGAAAGCCCGGGGCCCAACUGCGGGACUGCUUUGGAAACUGCCCGGCUAGAGUGCUGGAGAGGUAAGCGGAAUUCCUAGUGUAGCGGUGAAAUGCGUAGAUAUUAGGAGGAACACCAGUGGCGAAGGCGGCUUACUGGACAGUAACUGACGUUGAGGCUCGAAAGCGUGGGGAGCAAACAGGAUUAGAUACCCUAGUA
Molecule: ribosomal RNA, 446 nt
Filed under: uncultured bacterium
Lineage: Bacteria
Description: bacterial SSU rRNA
Rfam family: Bacterial small subunit ribosomal RNA
Source: RNAcentral